CCAAUAGCGUAUAUUAAAGUUGUUGCAGUUAAAAAGCUCGUAGUUGAAUUUCGAGACCGGCUUACUGGUCGUGCUUUUGUACGUACUGGUAUAAUCGGUUUCUCCUUUCUGACGAACUAUAAUGCCAUUAAUUUGGUGUUAUAGGGAAUCAGGACUGUUACUUUGAAAAAAUUAGAGUGUUUAAAGCAGGCUCACGCUUG
RNAcentral lists this ribosomal RNA (200 nucleotides) under uncultured Glomus. Its description in RNAcentral is "partial small subunit ribosomal RNA". It matches the Rfam family "Eukaryotic small subunit ribosomal RNA", at positions 591 to 797 of the family's 1831-position model. Lineage: Eukaryota; Fungi; Glomeromycota; Glomeromycetes; Glomerales; Glomeraceae. The record is from RNAcentral.